RNAcentral lists this ribosomal RNA (460 nucleotides) under uncultured bacterium. RNAcentral's name for it is "partial 16S ribosomal RNA". It matches the Rfam family "Bacterial small subunit ribosomal RNA", at positions 338 to 795 of the family's 1533-position model. The record is from RNAcentral.
CCUACGGGGGGCAGCAGUGAGGAAUAUUGGUCAAUGGACGAGAGUCUGAACCAGCCAAGUAGCGUGAAGGAUGACUGCCCUAUGGGUUGUAAACUUCUUUUAUAAAGGAAUAAAACGAGGCACGUGUGCCUUUUUGCAUGUACUUUAUGAAUAAGGAUCGGCUAACUCCGUGCCAGCAGCCGCGGUAAUACGGAGGAACCGAGCGUUAUCCGGAUUUAGUGGGUUUAAAGGGAGCGUAGAUGGGUUGUUAAGUCAGUUGUGAAAGUUUGGGGCUCAACCGUAAAAUUGCAAUUGAUACUGGCAGUCUUGAGUACAGUUGAGGUAGGCGGAAUUCGUGGGGUAGCGGUGAAAUGCUUAGAUAUCACGAAGAACCCCGAUUGCGAAGGCAGCUUACUAAACUGUGACUGACAUUGAUGCUCGAAAGUGUGGGUAUCAAACAGGAUUAGAUACCCUUGUAGUC